RNAcentral lists this ribosomal RNA (440 nucleotides) under uncultured bacterium. RNAcentral's name for it is "partial 16S ribosomal RNA". It matches the Rfam family "Bacterial small subunit ribosomal RNA", at positions 338 to 795 of the family's 1533-position model. The record is from RNAcentral.
CCUACGGGAGGCUGCAGUGGGGGAUAUUGCACAAUGGGGGGAACCCUGAUGCAGCGACGCCGCGUGGGUGAAGAAGCGCCUCGGCGCGUAAAGCCCUGUCAGCAGGGAAGAAAAUGACGGUACCUGAAGAAGAAGCCCCGGCUAACUACGUGCCAGCAGCCGCGGUAAUACGUAGGGGGCAAGCGUUAUCCGGAUUUACUGGGUGUAAAGGGGGCGCAGACGGCGAUGCAAGCCAGGAGUGAAAGCCCGGGGCCCAACCCCGGGACUGCGCUUGGAACUGCGUGGCUAGAGUGCAGGAGGGGCAGGCGGAAUUCCUGGGGUAGCGGUGAAAUGCGUAGAUAUCAGGAGGAACACCGGUGGCGAAGGCGGCCUGCUGGACUGCAACUGACGUUGAGGCCCGAAAGCGUGGGGAGCAAACAGGAUUAGAUACCCUAGUAGUC